UCCACCUGCGCCCCUCCUCCGUCUUCCUCCCCUUCUCUUCACCCCCCGACAGCGAACUUGGAACUCGCAACCGAGAAGGGAGAACUCGUCGCGACGAGGAGAGACGAACCUGGGGUGGUCCCGAAUCAGAGGUGGAAGAAGGUGGGUUCAGGAGCAAGCCAGCCUGCCGCCACCAUGAGGCGCGGCUCGAGGAAAUCGUCGUCGUCUGCCGCGACCGCCAGCGCUGGUGUGGAACAAGUAAAUGAAAAACAAAACAGAAAAAGAAAAGGAGUCAGUACAAACCUGACCAGCAGGAAAGCACAACGUGGCCCUACUAAAGCAGUUUCCAAGGAAGUAGAACGGAUUGAUCAAUUUUUUUAUACUUAUGCCGAUAACUCAUCUGGCAUGAUUGACCCAGAAGGCAUUGAAACACUCUGUUCUCACCUUGAAGUUCCCCACACCGAUGUUAGGAUUCUAAUGUUAGCAUGGAAAAUGGGCUGUGAGAAGCAAGGUUAUUUUACCUUGGAUGAAUGGAGAACUGGCUUGAAAGCUCUUCGAGCUGACAGUAUCAGUAAACUUAAGAAAGCAUUUCCAGAACUGGUUCAAGAGGUUACAAGGCCAUCCAAUUUCCAGGAUUUCUACAUAUAUGCAUUUCGUUAUUGCCUCACAGAGGAUAAGAAGAAGUGUAUAGAAAUACCAGUUGCUUGUGAGUUGCUGAAUCUAGUAUUAGGCUUGCAGUUCCGCCCUCAGGUUGACAAGCUUAAUAAUUACCUAAAGUACCAAAAUGACUACAAGGUGAUAAACAUGGACCAAUGGAUGGGAUUUAUUCGGUUCUGUAAUGAGAUAAACUUCCCAUCACUUGACAAUUAUGAUUCAGACCUUGCUUGGCCUUUGAUUCUAGACAAUUUUGUUGAGUGGCUGCGAGAAAAUAAAAGCUAGAUCUUCUAUUCCUGCGGUGGUGAAGAUGUCAUCCAAAAUGUAAUAUUCAAGAAUGUAGGUGACUAUAUAUACCAUUGUUUACAUUUUUUCAGCACCCUGGAGGCCUUAGAGGAUGCAGAUUCGGCUUGUUUCCGAUUGCUUCGGUGGAGGCUGCUCCCAGAAAUUAUAUCAAGCCUUCUCGUGUCACCUUUUGAUUUUGCACAUUUUUUAAACUGGGAACGGUCUGCAUCUGUCUGGAAAUUUUGCAUCAGCAUGCUAUAUUUAAUGGCCAUGUCGUGUUAAAUCAGUCUUGGUAUAGUAUUUUAUAAGAGCUUGCAAGUUGCAAAUAUUUCCAUUGGUUAUGUAAAAAAAAGGGAAGAAACUAGCAACGGGCCCGAUCUCUGAUUUCUCGCGGGGAAUUCUCCUAUUAGGGGAGGGGGAUGAGAGUAAAUUAUCCCCCAUGGCCAUGGGGAUUAGUUUGGUAGAAUUUCUAUCCUGUCGGUAGGGAUGAAAACGGAUUGUAUACGGACGAAUAUCAUCGAUAUCAUAUUUGUUUUCAUAUUUUUA
This is an RNA transcript of Sorghum bicolor (sorghum), 1464 nucleotides long. It is a transcript of the gene named DCN1-like protein 4, with no coding region annotated. Lineage: Eukaryota; Viridiplantae; Streptophyta; Magnoliopsida; Poales; Poaceae. The record is from RefSeq and is a predicted model, not a curated record. The transcript is spliced from 11 exons.